CGGAAGGUCCAGGCGUUAUCCGGAUUUAUUGGGUUAAAGGGAGCGCAGGCGGACUCUUAAGUCAGUUGUGAAAUACGGCGGCUCAACCGUCGGACUGCAGUUGAUACUGGGAGUCUUGAGUGCACACAGGGAUGCUGGAAUUCAUGGUGUAGCGGUGAAAUGCUCAGAUAUCAUGAAGAACUCCGAUCGCGAAGGCAGGUAUCCGGGGUGCAACUGACGCUGAGGCUCGAAAGUGCGGGUAUCAAACAGGAUU
Molecule: ribosomal RNA, 253 nt
Filed under: uncultured bacterium
Lineage: Bacteria
Description: partial 16S ribosomal RNA
Rfam family: Bacterial small subunit ribosomal RNA
Source: RNAcentral